Molecule: ribosomal RNA, 121 nt
Filed under: Sphenodon punctatus (tuatara)
Lineage: Eukaryota; Metazoa; Chordata; Lepidosauria; Sphenodontia; Sphenodontidae
Source: RNAcentral
UCCUACGGCCACACCCCAGACUGAAUGCGCCCGAUCCCUUCUGAUCUUGGAAGCUUAACGGGCCCGGGCCCGGCUAGUUCCUGGAUGGGAAACUGCCUGGGAAUCCCGGGUGCCGUAGGCU